GCAGCCUGGGAAAGAACUGAAAAAACUCACUAAAGAGUCAAGACAGAGACACCAGAAAGACCCAAGAAGACUUGGACGCAGCAUCAGAGGACAGAGAGGGAUGUUCAGAACUCACUCAGUCUGGUUAGAAGAGAAUGACUCCUCAACCCAAGAGGUCCUGGAGCAGCUGUGAUCAGGUUAGAAGAGAAUGACUCCUCAACCCAAGAGGCCCUGGAGCAGCUGUGAUCAGGUUAGAAGAGAAUGACUCCUCAACCCAAGAGGCCCCGGAGCAGCUGUGAUCAGGUUAGAAGAGAAUGACUCCUCAACCCAAGAGGCCCUGUAGCAGCUGUGAUCAGGUUAGAAGAGAAUGACUCCUCAACCCAAGAGGCCCUGGAGCAGCUGUGAUCAGGUUAGAAGAGAAUGACUCCUCAACCCAAGAGGCCCUGGAGCAGCUGUGAGAGAGCAGCAGUGUGGAAGCAUUUGGGGAAAUUUAAAGAAGGUUUCCUGGUAAUUAGGAUUGACUGUUAUGUAAAGGGUCAGAGCCACUGAGUGGACAAAAUAUUAAGGAUACCUUCCUAAUAUUGAGUUACGCCUGGUCAGUUUGUCAUGGAAAGAAAAGUGUCCUUAAUGUUUUGUGUAAAUUACAUAAUAAUUAUACAUUUAUGGAUUGUUUUAUGUAGCCUAUUGUUUUCUAUUUAUUCAACCU
Molecule: long non-coding RNA, 685 nt
Filed under: Salmo salar (Atlantic salmon)
Lineage: Eukaryota; Metazoa; Chordata; Actinopteri; Salmoniformes; Salmonidae
Description: lncRNA (ENSSSAG00000112002.1)
Source: RNAcentral